CCUACGGGAGGCAGCAGUGAGGAAUAUUGGUCAAUGGGCGAGAGCCUGAACCAGCCAAGUCGCGUGAGGGAGUACUGCCCUAUGGGUUGUAAACCUCUUUUGUCGGGGAGCAAAAGCCGGACGUGUCCGGCUGUGAGAGUACCCGAAGAAAAAGCAUCGGCUAACUCCGUGCCAGCAGCCGCGGUAAUACGGAGGAUGCGAGCGUUAUCCGGAUUUAUUGGGUUUAAAGGGUGCGUAGGUGGUUUGGCAAGUUAGUAGCGUAACUCCAAGGCUCAACCUUGGAACUACUACUAAAACUGUUGGACUUGAGUGCAGGAGGGGCAACCGGAAUUGCUAGUGUAGCGGUGGAAUGCGUAGAUAUUAGGAGGAACACCAGUGGCGAAGGCGGGUUGCUAGACUGUAACUGACACUGAGGCACGAAAGCGUGGGGAGCAAACAGGAUUAGAUACCCCAGUAGUC
Molecule: ribosomal RNA, 459 nt
Filed under: uncultured bacterium
Lineage: Bacteria
Description: partial 16S ribosomal RNA
Rfam family: Bacterial small subunit ribosomal RNA
Source: RNAcentral